AGAGUUUGAUCCUGGCUCAGAUUGAACGCUGGCGGCAGGCCUAACACAUGCAAGUCGAGCGGUAACAUUUCUAGCUUGCUAGAAGAUGACGAGCGGCGGACGGGUGAGUAAUACUUGGGGAUCUGCCUGAUGGCGGGGGACAACCACUGGAAACGGUGGCUAAUACCGCAUAAUGCCUACGGGCCAAAGUGUGGGACCUUCGGGCCACAUGCCAUCAGAUGAACCCAAGCGAGAUUAGCUAGUUGGUGAGGUAAUGGCUCACCAAGGCGACGAUCUCUAGCUGGUCUGAGAGGAUGAUCAGCCACACUGGGACUGAGACACGGCCCAGACUCCUACGGGAGGCAGCAGUGGGGAAUAUUGGACAAUGGGCGCAAGCCUGAUCCAGCCAUGCCGCGUGUGUGAAGAAGGCCUUCGGGUUGUAAAGCACUUUCAGUGGUGAGGAAGGGGUGCUAGUUAAUAGCUAGCAUCAUUGACGUUAGCCACAGAAGAAGCACCGGCUAACUCCGUGCCAGCAGCCGCGGUAAUACGGAGGGUGCGAGCGUUAAUCGGAAUUACUGGGCGUAAAGCGCACGUAGGCGGUUUGUUAAGCAAGAUGUGAAAGCCCAGGGCUCAACCUUGGAAUAGCAUUUUGAACUGGCAAGCUAGAGUUUUGAAGAGGGUGGUAGAAUUUCCAGUGUAGCGGUGAAAUGCGUAGAUAUUGGAAGGAAUACCAGUGGCGAAGGCGGCCACCUGGUCAAAAACUGACGCUGAGGAGCAAAAGCGUGGGGAGCAAACAGGAUUAGAUACCCUGGUAGUCCACGCCGUAAACGAUGUCAACUAGUUGUUCGUGUCUUUAAGACGUGAGUAACGCAGCUAACGCACUAAGUUGACCGCCUGGGGAGUACGGCCGCAAGGUUAAAACUCAAAGGAAUUGACGG
This 917-nucleotide ribosomal RNA is filed under the name uncultured bacterium. RNAcentral describes it as "bacterial SSU rRNA". It matches the Rfam family "Bacterial small subunit ribosomal RNA", at positions 8 to 916 of the family's 1533-position model. The record is from RNAcentral.